AAGGGGAAUAAGCCAUAGGAAAAGCUGCUAACUUAUUCUUAAAGCGGUUUAAUUCCGUUUUUCCCUUC
RNAcentral lists this transfer RNA (68 nucleotides) under Dalbulus maidis (maize leafhopper). RNAcentral describes it as "tRNA-Ser". Lineage: Eukaryota; Metazoa; Arthropoda; Insecta; Hemiptera; Cicadellidae. The record is from RNAcentral.